CCAGCCAGGCGAUUUUUCACCGCCAUGCACCGAGCCUGGGUGUAGCAGAGUUGGGCUCGGGGGAAAGCAUUUGGACACCGGGGACACUCACCGGUGUCGGGCGGAUCCGACCAACCCACACCUCGCCGGGGGCAAACGUAACCUAGGCUCCAGCACCGGUACGGAACCCCUGUAUUUUGUUCUUCUCAUCUCUUUCAUUGUGUCUACCAUAUGGGGGCUUGGGAUGGGGUGGUUGCGCACCUGCACUUUCUCGCCGGUGUGCACUUCCGCCGCGGCACUGCAUGCUGUUGUGGGUAGGCUCGGUCCACCAUCGGUUCGUAGGUUUCGUGCCACCACCGAAUUCGCACUAGCCCCUUCUUCACGUAGCGCCAUGCCGGACUCGGAUGGCACUCCUGCGGGUUGGAUGGCCUGUCGCUGGCAUGGGCACCGACGGGGUGCUUGGUCAGGCCGUCGUGGGCACUGCUGGAGGUUGACGAUGGAUAAGAAAUAGUUGAUCUAGUAUUCAACGACUGAGAUUAGAAGAUAGCUUACCUCUUCGUCCAACAGAACCUUGGCCGUAGAUCUAUAAUCCAAUGGAUGUGAAUGAAUCUUGGUAAUAUAGAAUUCGAGCCGUCGAUCUUGAUCCUGCGGCUUCCAUCUAAUAGCAGUCCAGUCUCCCUUGAUUUGUUCUGGGCCGUUCCGAUCUAAUCUAACGGUCCAUCCAACCUCGUACCCCUUCGCGUGCGCCAUUUUGCGUAAGAAACCCCGAGGAAAAGAUGAAUCAACCCGCCAUCCUCUGACUGUGGAAAAUAAAUAAAAGUAGGUCUCUGAAAGUUGUAAUUUAAACCCUGUGCUCUCUGGAAUUCAUGGCCGUAAUCCAAUCAGUUAUUAAAUAAGUGAAAAUAUAAUCAAAAUGAAUUUCUUAUAUAAAAACAAUUCUAGAAUCUUGAUUAAUUUCUAGCAAAUUUAUUUUAGCUCCUUUUUAAUCCAUUCCAGUUGCAUUAAUAUUGUUUUAAUAUUGUCUAUCAGUUAAUAACUCUAUUUUAGCAUGAAACCUAGAUUAAAAUUAAUCACUUAGUUAUUUUUGUACCAAACACAUAAAACCUUCAGAAAAUCAAAACUCGAAAAUCGUAACUCCGAAUUUAGUGAUUCUUGUUCCUACGAUCUUGUUGCGAUGCGUAGAAUAUUAUCAUGCAGUAUAUUACUCAGUUUGGUGUGAUGAUUAAUUUCUCUUGUACCAUGUUUGUUUGUAUUGUGGCGAGUAGACGAGCAAGGGAUUGAGAACCCAGGUGUUCAGCAGGUAGAAGUUGCUGAGCAGGAGCUCAUUGAAGGCAAGUUGUGUCCUUGACCACUUUUAUUUACCCAAUAAUGUUCUCUAUAAUCAUUUUGGCAUGCAUAGGCUUAAUUUUGAUGGGACCCAAUAGGUCACCCUAGUUUGGUCAUCUUUACACCUUAUUUAUCCUUGAACUUUUGGGUAGUCUUUGCUAUUGCUAUAUAUGGUUUUGGAUGUUGAGAUAACUAUUACACAUGUCAUUCUUUAUUAUUAUUGUUCUAUUUUUGUUCAUGAUAAGACUAUUAUGUUAAUUGGAACAUGGAGCUUAACUUGAGAAACACGUGCCACCACAAGGGUGGAAUGGGACGCCCUUGGCUGACUAAUUAGAAAAGCUAGUGGAGUCUACCUUACCCGAAAGGGGCAAGGGCAGUAGGGGAGUUGGCGUGUAGGGAGGUUCUCGGGUUGAUUUUGCUACGAUGGUGGUCAGACGGGGGAUUCUUGCAUUGCGCUCCCUAGAAACUGUAGCAAGUUUUUUGAAGCUAGUGGAACUUUGUAAAGGCCUCGUAGUGUUACCCUGCCUCGCUUCCUUGGUAGAUGUGUAUGGGGCCCGUACAACCCCGUGGCAAAUGGGUAACAUGACUUAAAGAAAUAUUUUACUAAUUCUAAGUAAUUAAGUGCUAUACAUAUGAAUACAUUUAUCAUGACUAGUAAAACCUAUAUUUUUAAUCCGACCGAAAAUAUGUGGCCUAGUAUUUCUUCUACUUUCUUAUAUUAAUAAAAUUAUACUUAAAUCACUACUAACAAAUAUUGUUCCAUGUUAAAGCGAAGUUAGCCGUAAACGUUUCUAGUAUGUAAAUCACCAAGUUAGUGAAUAGUGACAUUAUUUAUUUUUUUGAAAUAUAAAAUAGUACUCAUGUCCAAAAUAUUGUUGCAGGGUAGUUCAUGAUUUAGUGUGUUCAUCGGGGUCUCUUUUGAAUAAUUUCUAAACUGAAAAUCUCGGAAUUAAUUUCAUUUACACGCAGGGACUAAAAUGCAAAAUGUGCUUCUUCUACCUUGAGCUCUUGCUCACGCUCCAAUUGCCUUGUUCAGCAAAGUCUGAAAGAUGGGAAAGUUGUGGCUCUGUAAUUGGUAGUUCAAGGGUCCAAUCAAUCCUUCCAAGAAAUGUUCUUGACGCUUCUCGUUAGUGUCCACUUCCUCUAGGGCGUAACAUGAAAGCUGGGUGAAGCGAUCACGGUACUCACUAACAGUCAUGUUCCCUUAUGUGAGGGAAAGGAACUCCUUCUUGAGCUUCAUUAUUCCCGAGGGAAUAUGGUGAGCAUGGAAGUUCACUUGGAAUUCCUGCCAGGUUAUGGCAUCAGCAUUGGCAUGUGCCGCGAUGAAGGCAUCCCACCAAUCGGACGCGGCACCUUCGAGUCUUCCAGAAGCGUACAAGACCUUCUCUUGGUCAUUGCACUGGGUGAUAUCUAACUUCUUUGCAAUGACCUUAAGCCAAUCAUCGGCAUCCAAAGGGUUUACUACAUGAGAGAAAGCAGGCGGGUGAUGACUCAUGAAGUCCUGGUGCUUGUCUCUAGCUUGGGGUGCAUGUUGUUGUUGUUGUUGGUAUUGUUGGUUCUAUUGAUUUUGCUGAAUUUGCUGCACCGAAGCUGUGAGUCCUUGCAGAAGUUGCAUCUGCGCUGCGAUGAAUUGAUCCAUAGUAGGGUUGGGUGGUGGUGGUGGCAACUGUUGACCACACUGGUUCUGAUGGAUAUUGGGACCUGAUCGAGUGUUCACCAUCUGGUUGGUUAGAAAGUGCAAUCCCAGGGUAAGGGAGGAGUAGAAAAGAUUCUAGGGGGAAUAGCUUAUUAUUAAUGUUAAGUUUAUUAUUAUUAUUAUUAUUAUUAUUAUUAUUAUUAUUAUUAUUAUUAUUAUUAUUAUUAUUAUUAUUAUUAUUUUAUGCUCUUAUGGCCAUCAUUCCAUAAGACCAUUGCACUCAAGCAAAACUCCAAAUCAAACAUUUCAAACAACAUCAUCACAUGGUUGUUAUUAUUAUAAGUGUAAUAAUAGAAACGUGUUCUUCGUCUAACGCGAAAUCUAACUUAUUACAACACAAUUGAAGAAUUUAAAGUAGACUAGUGAUGGAUCCUGGUUCUCCAUAGUAGAUCCUCUUGCGGAGAGGGGAUAACGCCAUGGCAGGGACUUGAACUUUAGGGGGAUUCCUUCCAUCUAGCUGAGCUUCCAGGGCUGUGAUCCUUGCGUGUGCAUCCUCCAGCUCCAAGUGUACCCUAGAGAGGUCCAGGGUAACACUAUCCAAGUCGGUGUUAAGAUCUGCCACCACACCAGCUAGGGUGUUGAGGCGAUCUUCUCCAGCUCCACCUGGAACAAUGCUGGUAUGGCUUUCUCCACGAAUACGCAGAGGAAGAUGCCUGUACUUUGUGUUGUGCAGCUGCUGCCGGUAGGUGUGGCUGAGGGACCACAGAGUUUGCGUAGCAGCAUCGCUAACCGAAGCAGCGUAGGUGGAUAGCGGCGUCAGAGACUCGUGAGCUGACAGAGUCCUGAACGCUCUAUCACCUGCAUCCAUCACCCUAACAUGAAUGCAAGUGAUGUAGUAGCAAGACCGAGGAGGCUCGUACACUCGCGUUGUCUCAUACAGGGGUCGGACGUAGGUUCCCAACGCAUGCAGAACAUCCUGCAGUAGGUUAGGGAAGUGCCCUGUCUCGAAUAUUGAGGUAUAAUGUUCAGUGACAGGCCACAACCCCACGUAGUGGUCCUCCUAUUCUUUGUUGGCUUCCUCGUUGAUGUUUUCCUCAUCUUCUUCUUCGUCUUCGUCAUCUUCAUCAUCGUCACCAGAGUCGUCCGGGUCAUCGCCACCGGGAGCAGGGGCUUGGACUACUGGUGCUGGCGGUGCUGAAGCUGGCGAUCCAGCUGCGAAGGCUAGUGAUUCUGCCAACGGGGUGGGCGUAGGCAGAAACUCCUUCGAGCUGUCCUCUAGAAUGACUCCGUUCUCCACACGAAUGCGAGGGAGAUCCAUAGGGAUUUCCUCGACUACCACUGGGUAGACAAGAACUUGCCAUGGCAGAGGGAUGUAGUUGGUGUUGAUCCGAGUGGUUUGGAUAGUACGAACCAUCUACAAGAGAAAAUGUCAACUUAGCUGAAUUUUAAGGAGGUAAGAUUAAUAAAAUAAUUUUGUAAGAACAAAAUAAGCAUGUUUUGAACAAACUAGGCUGUCCAUUUCUAACUAGUCUAACGACCUAGAGUCAGCAUAGCUUUGAUACCACUUCUGUCACACCCGGUUCUGGGGGGAAAACCGAAUGCAUAGCAUAUGUGGGCUAGGAUCCAUUUUCCACACAUAUGUUGACGUCACAAGUGUAAUAUAUCAAAAGACAAUGUAAUAAAGGAGUAAAGAGAGUAGAGUAACUUUAUUACAUCAUCCAGAAUAUUGUAUCUUAACAAGUAUCAUAAUCAAAGUACGGCGGAAUUAAACAUGGACACUCUUCCACAGGAAGGUGACUGGCGCAUCGUUAGACUCAAAACUCAUCAACGUCAUCUGCGAAGUCUUCGUCAUCACCCUCUAAUCAAAAUAUUAGCAAGGGUGAGCUUAGUUAUGGUCGGAGCUCAUCAAGUGGGGGAAAUAAUGCAAAGUUAACAAGGUAGGCUAUGGAUAAGCGGUAAGCAUUUUAGUUGGUCAAUAUUUUAUUAGCAACACCUGUCUUACUAAUAAGUGUGUAUCCCAAAUAUCUCAAUUAAUCAAAGGCAUAAGAUUAUAUCAAAAAAACUUAAGUGAAAUCACUUAAGCAAACCAUUGGUAGAUCAUCAGAUCACGAUUUAUUUUCCAUCUUUAAGUUCAAUUAUCAUGUGAGGGUCCAAGUUGCUCUUAACCGUGAGCACGGCUGACAUAUCAGUUUUACACUCUGCAGAGGUGGUACAACUUUACGCACAAGCCAUGUAUCCCAUCUAGCCUGGGUUGAUCGGACCCGUAAACACUACCGAGGUGAAUGGCUAGGGAUCCAUUAUGAGGCUUUCACAAAAUAUCCUUAGUACAAAGCCACCCGCUAAGGUUUCCAGGUCAGUGUUGAUGGCCCUCUGGGUGAGGUAACUUAGCCAAGACUACCACCCCAUGUUAACAUGAGCUGCCACCAAACCACUGUCGCCCCCUCUUGCCCAUCUUUCAGGUAGGGUUGCUAAGCACUAAGUCUAUAGAGCUAGUUACCAAAGCCAGAGCCAUUAUAACACUCAUGGUUGCACUAUUAUCCUAGGUGGUCACUCCAUGUUCCAUUUAAUACAAAAUGUUCUUGUUUAAACCAUCAGGUUAACAUCAUAAAUAAAACUUCAUAUCUGGAACAUAGUAUCAUUAAAAGAGUGACAUCAUAUUUAUCAAGUUGAGCAAAUAGCAAAAAUUGCUAAGCAAAGCAUUUAUCCUAGGGUAAUUCAAGGAAUAGGGUUGGUAAUUCUAGGAAAUCUUUAUUUAGGCAAAUCCCAUCAAAUUAUGCAAUAUAUCCAAAAAGUAAACAUUAUUAUAUACAUUAUUUGGGUAUAAAUAGAAAUACAGAGGGAGAAUCCACUUGCCUUGCACGAAAGUGUCCUGUGGGACGUCCUCGAACGAGUUUGGUUCGUCUACCUUAGGGUCAACUUCUAGCAUCGAUUUGCGUAUCGUACAUACAAAAGAAUACAUACGCCAAAUAAAUAAACAUACACCAUUACAUGGGUAAUCAUUCACCAUUACAUAUACAUUCAUACAUCACAAACCUAUACUUAUAAAUAUGUUUACAACAUAUAUAAAUGUUUGUUAAUCCACUAUAUCUUCCUCUUUUGAGUUAUCAUUGGUGAAAAUAUGAGCAGGUGAUCAUGAUGCUAGUUUAUUUAGUAUAAUAUAGAUAAAAUGACUUAACAAAUUUUACAGAAAAUAAUUAUUAAUUAUAUUCUUUAUUACUUAAUAAUAGACUUUUGGGUUUUAUUCUUUUCUUUCUAAAUAGAAAUUAUACGUACAGCUAAAAAUGUUUAUUUAUAAAUCGCCUAACAUUAAUAUUCUAAGAAUUAAUGUAGAGUACUAAUUGGACUUUAGUAAUAUAAUCAUGAUGAUUUUGACAUAAAGAAAUAUUUUACUAAUUCUAAGUAAUUAAGUGCUAUACAUAUGAAUACAUUUAUCAUGACUAGUAAAACCUAUAUUUUUAAUCUGACCGAAAAUACGUGGCCUAGUAUUUCUUCUACUUUCUUAUAUUAAUAAAAUUAUACUUAAAUCACUACUAACAAAUAUUGUUCCAUGUUAAAGCGAAGUUAGUCAUAAAUGUUUCUAGUAUGUAAAUCACCAAGUUAGUGAAUAGUGACAUUAUUUAUUUUUUUGAAAUAUAAAAUAGUACUCAUGUCCAAAAUAUUGUUGCAGGGGUAGUUCAUGAUUUAGUGUGUUCAUCGGGGUCUCUUUUGAAUAAUUUCUAAACUGAAAAUCUCAGAAUUAAUUUCAUUUACACGCAGGGACUAAAAUGCAAAAUGUGCUUCUUCUACCUUGAGCUAUUGCUCACACGCAGGAAUGGAGAUCGACGAGGGGUUCGGCCGAGCAGGGGAGGAGCAGGGGCUCAGUCAAGGAGGGUGAGGCGUGGACGGCGAGGCUCGACGUCGAGCGGGCGCGGUCGACGGCGGAGCUCCGGCGGAUCGACGCGACGGCGAGCAAGGAAGAGAGAGGAGAGCGUGAGAAAGCGAGGGAGCUCGGGUAGGGAGAGCCAGGGAGGAAUGACCGGCCAUCAACGCCAUUAAUGGCGGCCAUUAUCGCCAUAGAGUGAGGGAGGGUCGAGGGAGAGGGAGAGGGAGAGGAGGAGCCGUCGCGGCGGUUUCCGGCUCGGGGUCGGCUCGGCCGGGGUCGGGCGUGGGGCGGGCGUGCAGCGGCACGACGCGGGUGCGGGGCGCCAGACGGUGGAGGAGCUCAAGAAAGGAGAAGGCCGCGGGGCUAAGGCAGGCCCACGCGCCAUAGAAACACUAGAGGGUUUGGGGCGCGCGGCUGAUGGGCCUGAGUGGGCCAGUUUCAGACGGCUAGCGUUAAGUCUAGGUUUUUUUUCAAUUUCUUUUCUUUUCUACUUAAAAAUAUAAAUAAAUAUAUUUUUAAAUAAUUCAAAAAUCAUAAUAAUUAUACCAAAAUUAUUUAUAACCAAAAUAUUUAUUUUUGGACCAAUAUUUCUAUAUUAAUUAAUUGGAUUUUCAAUAUAAAAUAAAUUCUACUAAACAUCCAUAAAUCAAAUAUGAGCAAACAAAAUUACUCUAAAUACAAAUAAAAAUCAAACACUUGAAAGAAAAAUUCAUUACCAUAUUUACCAUUAAUAAUCUAAAUGUAUUAUUUUUAGUUGAUGGUUUUGUAGUGUUACAUGUAUUUAUUACCAGUAAAGAGACAAGUUUUAGAAAUAACCCCAAGUUAUUAACCCCAAGUAAUUAGAAGAAAUACCAGAAUUCAUCACUGUAAUCAUCAUCAUUAAGCAUCGUCAUAAAGAUAACCAGAGUAACUCUAAUCAAAGGAGCUCCCAAGGCUACUCAUAAUCGUGAGCAUGUCUGAUAUACUAGUGUCUAACCCUCUGGAGAGAUAGCACUCUUUACCCAUGAGUUGUGAUCCCUUCCUAGCCUGGGUUGUAUAGACCCGAUCUUCACUACCAAGGUGAAUGGCUAGGGAUUCACUAUGUAGCCUUUACAAAGAUCCUCCAGAGGUCACAGCUACCCGUUAGGUUUCUCCAGUUUGAUAAAACAUAGUACCUCUCCCCGUAGCAGGGGUGACUAACAAAAGCGAAGUGAACGAAUCUCGGCAACCAGCCUCGAUAGAGAAAGUACUGUGCCUGGACCCAAUUGAUGGCCCGACGGCGAAGCCGACUACACUUCAAGUUCCUCUAAUUAAUCAGCUAAGGGCAUCCCAUACAACCCUCAUGGUUGUACUAUUUUCCCGGGUGGUCAUCUGUAACACCCUGAAUUUGGGGGUAUAAAAUUUCUUUCUAAAUAUCUACCAAAUUUAGGUGUUACACUUGUCUCUCUCUCUAGUCUCUCUCUCUUUCUUUUGGCUAGAAUUAAGUUAAUUAGGAGAUGGAUUAAUUAUUUAUUUUUUUCAAAACAAUGUGAGUCAUGAAAUGUUGCAUCAUGCUGAGCUUAAAAUAUCCUUUGAAUUGUUGCACAUGUUUGAAUUGGUUUGAGUUUGAAUAUUGGUUUGAAUUUGAAUUGAAAACCCUAGAAAAAAUAAAAAGAAAAGCAUUUAGAAAAUCCCUGGAAAAGAAAAGGCCAUUUCGGCCCAAGUCAGCCCAGCCGGCCCACGCCCGCGCACCAGCCCUCCCUUACAGGCGGUCCCCGCCUAUCGGCGCCCUCUCGCGCCCAAUCACUCUUCCCCCUCUCCCUCUCGCUGCCCAGUGGGGUCGACCUGUCGGCACCGAACCAUUCUCGCUUGUAGCCGCUCUCGCUCGCUGCUCGGUGGGACCUCCCUAUCAGCAUUUGACCACCCAUUUGUCGUUCACUAUCGCUGGUCCGCGGACCCCGCCUGUCAACCACUCCCCUCUUUCCAAACCUCCCACCCACGCUCUCUGUCGUGGACGCGCCCAUGACCACGCGUUUUUCGGCCAUGACCCCCACGUCUGAGCUCUUAUCUGCAGCUCACGGUCACUCACUCACUCCACUCGCUUAGUUGCGCCCUCAGCCGAGCACCCUCGCCCUCUCUCUUGCUCUGCGCGCGCGCCCAUGGAACUCCAUCGAAGGAUCGCCACCAUUACAUGGCCAUCGUCGCGCGUCUGUCGCGUCUGUUGCCUUGGUGAGCUUCGCCCCUUCGCCGGCAACACGGGACACCUCCCGAUUGGCCUCCAACCUCUCUAAUUCGCUAGAUCCGCGCUCACUGGCGUCUUCCCCGUGCAGCCGAAGCCCACCAUCGUCGACUCGAGCAAUCCCUGUGUCCCCGCCGUUGUCCCGGUGCUCUAGAGUUUCCUCUUGAGGUGAGCAACCUCCCCAUGCCCCUAUUUCUCCUUUUGUCACUCUGGUUUUCAUGCGAUUGCUCGUCGGAGCAAAUCCGCGCCGCCGUUGGGCCGCCCCGCCACGUUAUGCGCCCUCUGGUGCCCCCGCGCCGGUGUUGUGCCCACGGUUGAGUUCGCCGUGUCACCCUGAGUGCACUCGAGUCCUUCCCCAACCCCCUAGAGCCUUGUCGUGGAUGUUCCCUCGCCUCCAGCGAGACCUCACCGUGGGGACGAGCGGUGCCACCGCACUCAAGACCGGCCGCCCUAACCUUGCUAGCCGUUGGAUCCCGAACGUUCAUCCGAGAUCUGGCGAUCUAGGUUUAAUUAGGACCAAUCUAAUCUCAGCCGCCCGUGGUAGAUCUGAUCGCUUAGAUCUCCCCCUCACUCGCGCCUCAGCCGCUGGGCCCGGCCCAUCAGUCCUACCUCAGGUCAGUGAUGCCCCGAGCCCAACUAUCGGCGCUUGCCACGCCCGUGCGCUCGUCUGUGAGAUCUAAUCUGGGUCGUUGAUCGAAGAUCAGAUGGUCAGUAUAGCCCCGUAGCCCUUCGCGUGGUAAAGUUGCUAAAGAAACCCUCGGUUUUCCGAGAAUCAACACGCCGUCCUUGGGUUUUGCGCGUAGGCCCCAGGAUUCUUAUAAACAGACCCCCGGCCUUUUAAAUAAUCACAGGAUUGGACCUAAUUUUGUAUUUCAAACUUCAAAACUUGUUUAUUUCAUAUCUUUUUCAUAUGAACUCCAAAUUUAGUGAUUCAAAUUGCAAAAUGUUCUUAGGAAUAUUCUGUGUUCAAAUAAAUUAUGUUCAUCCUCUGUCUGUGCAUUCUAAUUUUAUGCCUAGGCUAUAGGUUAAUUUAUGUGAUAAUUUAAUUGUUCAAUAAGUCAAAUAAAAGGAAAACCCUAGUGGUAAAUGAAUAUUUAAUCUUGUGAGAUUAAUAAUAUGUAGUAUAUGAAUUUAUCCCUGAUUUAACUUUUAUGUCUCAUUAAAAUGGGUAGAACCAGAUUAUGUAAUCAUGGAGAAAGACAACACUUAGAGAAUAACAAACUACUAAAUGUGAUUAGUUCACCCUAUACCCUAAACAUCCUUUUGAGUUUAUACUUUUCCUUUUGAGAUGUGUUCCAUUGUUCGUACAUGAUUGGUGUGCUGUUCAUUUGUCAUUUUCCAAAUGUAUUGAAUGCAUGAUCGCUUUAUUUAGACAACGAGUAGCGUGUGGUUCCUGAGCGUGUUGCCGAAGAUUUUCCUAAGCAACAACCUGGUGAAGGCAAGUGUCCUUUGACCUAUUAUGUCCUACUUACUUUAUAAUUCACUUCCCACAUUACAUUAUAGAAACCUAAGGAUUGACUAGUCUGUAUUUACCUUAUCCUUGUUUACCUUUUGGGUUAUCAUGGUUAGCUUUAUGCUAUUGCUUUACUUUAAUCAAUGAAUAUGUUGUGAAUACUUAUGAUACGAUGAUGUUAUCCUGAUGAUGAUCUUGUGAUACUUUAGGGGACUCAGGCUGUUUCCUGAGUACCUCUCUGUAAGGACCUGUUCAUGGAGUAACCACCCGGGAUAACAGUGCAACCAUGAGGGUGGAAUGGGACACCCUUAGCUGAUUAAUUAGAGGAACCUGAGGUGUAGUCGGCUUCGCGUAGGGUCAUCAAUGGGGUCUGGGCACAGUACUUGCUCUACCGAGGCUGGUUGUAGAGGUUCUUUGAUUUGGUUUUGUUAGUCACCCUUCCUUUGGGGAGAGGUACUGUGUUUAUCAAACCAAAGAAACCUAACGGGCGGCUAUGACCUCUGGGAAAUCUUUGUAAAGUCUACGUAGUGAGACCCUACUAGGUCACCUUGGUAGUGAUCAAAGGAGAGUCAUGAUCUCUAGGCAGAAUGGGAAUCACGACUUGUGGGUAAAUUGUGCGACCUCUGUAGAGUGUUAGAAACUGGUAUAUCAGUCGUGCUCACGGUUAAGAGCGGCCUUGGAUUCUCUUUGAUCAGAAGAAUUUCGGUUACUCUUAUUAUGAUGUUUAAUGAUGAUGGUUACAAUUAUGAUCUCUGGUAUUUCCUCUUGGAGGGAGUACAUUUGGGUAAUAACUGGGUUUAUUACUAAAACUUGGCUCUACUGAUAGUAAUAAAUACUUGACCAACUAAAAGCAACUGCUUAACCUUAACUCCACAUACAGCUAGUCCACUUUAGCCAAAUGGGGCAUUUGCUGAGUACGUUGAUGUGUACUCACCCUUGCUUUAAAAACCACCCGACCCCAGGUUGUCCCCACUAUAUUCAAUGCUCAGGAGGAGAUGCUGGCAACAUGGAGAACUUUGAGGAGUUUCAGGACUACGACGAGUUCUAGUUAUCUUAGUGGCAAACCCCUAAUCAGCUGCCUAUGAAGGUCUUAUCUACUACGUUUUGUAGUCCGCACUUUGCUAAUGUUAAAUGACUAUGUUAUAGACUCUGUGGAUGUCUUGGACAUCUUGAUGUAAUAAAGUACCUUUCCGCUAUUUACUUUGAGCAAUGUGUGAUGAUGUCAUAUUGUGUAAUUGUUGUGUAUGUGAGUUUCUAAUCUUGGCACGUACAUGGUUCACAUCUGGUUUUCCUUCCAAAACUGGGUGUCACAUAAGUGGUAUCAAAGCCUUGCUGACUGUAGGACCGCUAACCUAGACUAGAAUGGUCGUCCUAAGGACUAUAGACCUCUACCCUUACCUUGACCUUUAGUGUCAUUUGAAAAGUUGGUCAUCUUGACCAAUUCUAUGUUAUUACUCAUCUUACAAAAUUUUGUCUCACUUUUCUUUCUGAUUACUUGCUGGUCACAUAGUUCUACUCUCACUCUUGUGCUUAUGAUGUCUUUUGUAGGUGACUCGUAUUAGAUGCACUGCACGUAAGUCAGUUGUUGGGACUCGCUCUCCCUAGCAAGAUGAUCCAACGGGGGAGUGAGAGCAACGUAAACAAGGUUUCAAUUCGAGAUGGCAAAAGCUCUGUUAAUCUAGCCUCUCAAGGGCACUGUGCGGGGGUAUUUAUAGGUAUCUGAGUGCCCAGCAUCCUGAGUUAAGGACUCAUGUGCCCUCAGGCGCCUAGGUUAUCCCCAGAAUAUUCCCAUAAAGCAGGGUUACAAAGUGUAAUUAUAGGGAGACCUUUACAAAUCAGGCCUGUAAUGCGCAGCGGCCACGCAGGGCCUGUUACAAUGGGCCAGAUCGCACGUGGGCCUCCAUUUUGGACGAGGUCGCGAGAUGGGACGACCUCGUCACAGGCCUUCGUCCGACGAUGCGUGGGACGAAGGGUAAGUCUGCCAGUCGUCUUGUCUCCGUUGGUGCAGCGAGGCUGGCGAAGGCAUCGAGCGAAGGGUGGCGUCUUCGCCUUCGCCCCAACAUUUGCCCUCCGAGGGACCAGUUCGACUAAGUCAUCUGGUGCCGAAGGCAUCACUAGAUGGUGGAGACGUUGCCCUCGCUCGAAGUGGUUCCACGGGGGUUUUUGACAUCACCGUUGAUUGACGCCGCACUGUUGGAUUGCGGGUUUCCCGAAGCGUCGUGCCCUGUGUAUAUAAAGGGGGCUUGGGCGGCACGGAUUGAAAUUUACCUUUCUACGUGCUGCGAAAACCCUAGCCCCACUUUCAAACUGCUCGCUUGCUCGUCUGCCCUCCUUGCUCCUGUUCAUCGGAGAACUAGCCCGCGUGAAGCAGACCGCACGCCGCCGUCGACGGUACGUAGCCAUGCCGUCUUCCUCCUCGUCUGCUGCGACCACGCUGACGGCCGGGGCGUCUUCUGAAGAUCUCUCGGGCACUGUGGCGGCGGCGGAGUUGCGACCAGGUGAUACAGUGGAAUUCGAUGUGUCGCGGAUGUCGUUGGCCCGCGUGCAAGAUAUGCAACGAUUGGGGUAUUUUGGUGGCGGGGUUGGUCGGGUCCCGGGGGCGGAGGAGGUCCCCGAGCCCAAGGGCGAAUUGGUUGUUUUUGUGGCGUUUUUCAUCGCCGGACUUCGCCUGCCGGCGCAUCGUUUUGUGUUGGAGGUUUUGCAAAAGUUCGAAGUCCAGGUUCAUCAGUUGACACCAAACGUCGUGGUAGCGUGGCGAAGUAUGUCUGGGCAACAACGUCAUAUGGCGGCCAGCCUUCGGUGGAGGUCUUCGCCAAGCAAUACUGUCUGCACUGGCAGAAGAGAAAAAUGGGAUAGAAGAUUGCGCAAUUUGGAUCGUGCACUUUCACGCCGAAGUCCGGGAAGACUUCGAUGGAAGUUGUGGAGCUGGUCCCCUGUGCCCGGAAUAAGUGGGGCAACUGGUGGGACUACUGGUUUUAUGUUUCGGAGGCUGAAAUCGAGGAUCACCUAGGGCUCUCUGCCGCCAUUAUGUGUUCGCAUUAUUAUGUGGCGUACCCGUCGUUUGAAGUGGCGGAGGAUGAUGAGAAUGAGACGGCCCUUCGGAUUGCUGCCCGCACGAGCAGUGGGCGCGAUCUGGUUGAGGAAUUCAUAGGAUAUGGGGUGUGGCCUUUGGCGCAUGGAUGGGCGCUGGGCGAAGUAUGCCCUCGCGAGAUGCCCUCCCUGGGUGGACUGAAGGUGCGAAGUCCGUGUUUUUGCUUUGGAUUUGCGAGGGCGGGAUCGUGCCGCGGUUGUGCGUGAGGCAGAGGAUGGGGCGGUGAGAAUUGUUGGGCGCUAUGUGCCGAAGACGGAGGCCCAGUGGAGUUGGGAUAUACGUGAAUCCAACAACCGCCUGAAUAGGGUCUUUGAGUUGAAUUGUUUGCCGUAUGGCAGUUACCCUGGGGAGGACGUCGUCGAUCGCCGUGGGAAAAAAACAGCGGCUGUGACUGAGGAUGACCCCGCGCCGGAGGCCGCCCCAGCCACUAAAAAGAGGAAGCUAGGUACUGCGGUGGGAGAACUGGGGGUCUCCGAUAGCUUUGCUAUGGAGUUGAUGGGAACAUGCGCGGCCUCCGGGGAAAGGAUGUCUUCGCCCGAACUCCGGGAGUCUUCGACGCGGAUGCUGGAGGUUACCGGGGGUCGAUGGACCAAGGACGUUCCUAUCCCCCGCGCGACAGGCGAAGACUUUUUUACGUCUCGCAUGGCUCGUGACUUGAGAGUGUUUCCUUACGGACGAAAUAUUGCUGUUGUUGUGUCGGCAGUGAUGAACAAAGAUUGCCAGGAAGCUGCACAGAAGCGCCGGGCGGUCGUCAGGCUCCCCGAAGCUAGGCCGAAGAGGGCGCGGGGGACUGCGAAGGCUACCGUCCUCGACGGUAGCCAGCCGACGCUGACGGCGAAGCCGGCUGCCCCUGGGUCCAGCAAGGUGCCGGAGAGUGCGAAGGCGGCCGGCGCCGGCGGAACCAAGUCUGCCCCGGACGGAGCUGCGAUGGUCCGGAAAUUGCCUUCGCCGGGGAAGCGUGUUGCCGACUUCGGCACAAAUAUUAGCGUGGACGACUAUCUUGUUGGUAAGCAUUUAUAUAUAUAUAUAUACUUUUUUUUUGACUGGUGAUACGUUGCAGGAUCGGGCGAGGGGCAACUUGUUGUUGUUCCGCCUGCGGUGGCGACCACGGCGUCUUCCGUGGUGCUUGGGGUGAAGGGUAGCGCUUUUAGCGCUGGCGGCGAGAUUUCGGCGGUCACCGCCGUCAAGGACGAAGCGGGCACUGUGUCUCGCCGGCUGAGGGAGGCGUCGCAGCAGGCGAGUCAAGUAAGUUGAGCUGGACUUCGGUGUUUACCGCUGUCAUGGGGAUUGUGGUCUCAUGUGUGUCUGUUAGGCGGCCGACUUCGCCGACCGCGUGGCGUCGCGAGCCCUUACUGCAGAUGUGUCUGCCAAAGUCGAGAGACUUCGGGCGCAGCACGCUGACGCUGUCCGGGAAAAGUCGGCUGCGGAUAGCAAGUGCCGCAAGCUGGUGGAGAAGGUGGCCGCCCUGGAGGGCGAGAGGACGGACCUCCGACGCCAGUUGGUGGAGGAGAGGAGGGAGGCCAACCAGGCCAUCGCCAAGGCGCAGGCGGCGCAGGCAGAGGCCAAAUUGGCGCGGGUGGAGGGGAGUCUCGCCAGCCAGCACGCUGAGGAAUGGGAGGUGCGGUUCAACGCUCUGCAGGCCCGCAUGGAGAGGGCCGAGGCCUCCACGCGCUCGGAAGUUGAGCGGACGCGCAAACAGCUCGUGGACUCAUACCGCGAGCUGGGUGCGUGGACUGCUAACUUCGAGGUGCCCGACCGAGAGGCGGGCCUUCGCUUCCUCCAGUGGCUGCAAGAGGAAUUGUUGGCGCUCCCGACCAUUGUAGAGGGAUUCAUGUCUUUUGCCUCCCUCGUUACAUGCGAAGGGGCUAUGAACGCGCUGUCCCGCGAGGGGUGCAGUCACUAUGAGGUCUUUGACCGAUCCGAUGAAGACUUUGGGCGCGAGAUUUUUAAGGUCGAAGACCCUGUGGUGAAGGACUCCGCGGGGGCCCUCUUCGACCGGAUGUGGGGCCCCUACGGUCGGGAGGUGGUUAGGGAGCGAUCUGACCGGGCAAGGGAUCAGGUAAAGUUUGUCUUUUGUUUAGUGUCGUUGAAUGUGGGUAUACGCGGGCUUGCUGAAUCGGUGUGCUGUGUUGUAGAUGGCGCGUGCCGAGGAUGUGGAAGACUUUGGGCCCCUGAACAGCGCGCAGCCCGAAGUGGAGGCCAACCCGGUGGUGGCCGAGGUUGAGGUCGACUCGGCA
RNAcentral lists this long non-coding RNA (15781 nucleotides) under Zea mays. RNAcentral's name for it is "long non-coding RNA (ZMAY_LNC002936)". Lineage: Eukaryota; Viridiplantae; Streptophyta; Magnoliopsida; Poales; Poaceae. The record is from RNAcentral.